Long non-coding RNA from Astyanax mexicanus (Mexican tetra), 206 nucleotides. RefSeq lists it as uncharacterized. The record is from RefSeq and is a predicted model, not a curated record. NCBI's taxonomy places the organism in Eukaryota, Metazoa, Chordata, Actinopteri, Characiformes, Acestrorhamphidae. The transcript is spliced from 3 exons.
GGUUGCUAGGCAGUUGCUAAGUGGUUGCUUGGCAGUUGCUAACGUUUUCCAGGUGGUUGCUAGGCAGUUGCUAAGUGGUUGCUAGGCAGUUGCUAACAUUUUCCAAGUGGUUGCUAGGCAGUUGCUAAGUGGUUGCUAGGCAGUUGCUAACGUUUUCCAGGUGUUUGCUAAGUGGUUGCUAACUGGUUGCUAGGCAGUUGCUAUAA